AAUGAACGUUGGCGGCGUGGAUUAGGCAUGCAAGUCGUGCGGCAGCAGGUCCUUCGGGAUGCUGGCGAGCGGCGAAAGGGAGAGUAACGCGUGGGUGACCUGCCCUUGGGUCUGGGAUAGCGACGGGAAACUGUCGGUAAUACCGGAUAACGUCUCCGGACCAAAGGUGUGAUUCCGCCUGGGGAUGGGCCCGCGUCCUAUUAGCCUGUUGGUGAGGUAACGGCUCACCAAGGCCGCGAUGGGUACCGGGUGUGAGAGCAUGGCCCGGCUCACUGGGACUGAGACACUGCCCAGACACCUACGGGUGGCUGCAGUCGAGAAUCUUCGGCAAUGGGCGCAAGCCUGACCGAGCGACGCCGCGUGCGGGAUGAAGGCCCUCGGGUUGUAAACCGCUGUCGGAGGGGAGGAAAUGCAAUCAGGUCAUCCUGGUUGUUUGACCUAUCCUCAAAGGAAGUACGGGCUAAGUUCGUG
Molecule: ribosomal RNA, 471 nt
Filed under: uncultured bacterium
Lineage: Bacteria
Description: bacterial SSU rRNA
Rfam family: Bacterial small subunit ribosomal RNA
Source: RNAcentral